RNAcentral lists this long non-coding RNA (1587 nucleotides) under Anas platyrhynchos platyrhynchos (common mallard). Its description in RNAcentral is "lncRNA (ENSAPLG00000017863.1)". Lineage: Eukaryota; Metazoa; Chordata; Aves; Anseriformes; Anatidae. The record is from RNAcentral.
GACAGACAGGAGGAAAUGGGAAAGGGGCGAAGGGAAGGACAAGGAAAGACAGAAUGACAGACGGAGGAAAGGAACAAACGGACAGACGGAUGGGAGGGAAGGGACAAAGGGAGGGAAGGAGAGAAGGAAGGACAGACUGAGGGACGGGGGAGAGAGGAAGGGGACAAAAGGAGGGCGGGAGGGUGGGGAGAAGGAGGUAAGAAAGGGAUGAAGGGAGCGAGGGAAGAGGGACGGACAAAAAAGGCAGGGAUGGACGAAAGUACAGAGGGGGGCAGGGACGGACGGACAGAGGGGACGGGAUGGAAGUACAGAAGGGAGGAAGGAACUGGGACAGGGGUGGAAGGAAGGAGGAAAAGCAUAGAAGGAAGGACGGAUAAAGACGAAGGGAGGGAGGGAGGGAAGGAAGGACAGACAGAAGUAGGAAAUGUCCGAAUGGGGGAAGGAAGGACAGAGGGAUGACAGGACAGGAGUGGCACAGGGUGCGGGGAGGGGAGGGCAGCAGGGAGCAGGGAAGGAAAGGGCCGAAGGGUGGGAGGGGAGGACGGGGGAGAGAAGGGGUGGAAGGAGAGGAAACGAAGAAGGAAAGGAUGGAUGGAGGGGACAAAGGGAAGGACAGAAGGAAGUGGGCAAGGGACGGACGGGAGGGAUGGAAGGGCAGGAGGAGGACAGGGACGGAGGGCGCUGGGUGCUGUCAAGGCCGCAGGGAGGUCCCAGGGCAGCAGCAGGACGGAGCAGGAGCAGCUCCAGCACCUCCAGCACCACCGCGGCCCCAGUCGGUGCCAGCCCCAUGCCCACGCCACCAGGCCAUGGCCACCGGGACACGGUGGCUCCACCGCCUCCACUCACAGCCACCGCGUUCUGGCACUCCCAGAGGUGCCAAGAGGCCUCCGGCCACCUGCCCGGUGGUGGCCCCGCCACACGUCCCGGCCGAGCCCCUGGAGGUGCCACCACGGUGGGCGCCACCAGGGCGGGUGCCAUGGCCAGCACCAGGGACAGCGGCACCGGGUGCUCCACCAUGGACAGCGGCCACAGUGGCCACGGCGGGUGGCCCUGGUGGCCACAGCAGGUGACCCCGUUGGCCACGCCAUGGCACGGCACAGACACAACCCGGCACCGUGCCCCGGUGCCAGGUCCAGGGGAUGCGGCAGCAGCGCCGUGUCCCGGCUUCGGUGGCGCCUGGCUGCCCGCAGCGCCGCAUCCCCGGAGGGCGCCGCUGCCCCGACGCUCACGGGGACGCCGCCAGCGCGUGGCUCCGGUGCCACGGUGCCCGGGCACGGCUCCCGAGGCCCAUCCCUGCUCCACGGCCGGUGUCGCUGUCCCCGCUGCCGCUUCCUCCCGGUGUCACCGCCGCAGGGCCACGUCGCCUCGUGUGGCUCCCCAGCUCCGCUCGCUGCCACGUGUCCGCCGUGUGCCGGUCUCGACGCCGCCUGGGCGGGAACCGCGCUCCGUGCUCCGUGCUGAGCGGCUGCGCUGCCUCGUCCGGCUGCUGAGCAGCGGGUGCCGGUCCCGGUGGCACCGGGGCCUCGGGGACACCGCCACCGGCACCGGGCAGGGGGUGACGGUUUGGGGGCGGCCGCACUGGGCCCU